UACGGGGGGAGCAAGCGUUGUUCGGAUUUACUGGGCGUAAAGGGCGCGUAGGCGGCGUGGCAAGUCACUUGUGAAAUCUCCGGGCUUAACCCGGAGCGGCCAAGUGAUACUGUCGUGCUAGAGUGCGGAAGGGGCUACUGGAAUUCUCGGUGUAGCGGUGAAAUGCGUAGAUAUCGAGAGGAACACCUGCGGCGAAGGCGGGUAGCUGGGCCGACACUGACGCUGAGGCGCGAAAGCCAGGGGAGCGAACGGG
Molecule: ribosomal RNA, 253 nt
Filed under: uncultured bacterium
Lineage: Bacteria
Description: partial 16S ribosomal RNA
Rfam family: Bacterial small subunit ribosomal RNA
Source: RNAcentral